ACAGCAGCCGCCACGGGAAUACGUAGGUGGCAAGCGUUGUCCGGAAUUAUUGGGCGUAAAGGGCUCGCAGGCGGUUUCCUAAGUCUGAUGUGAAAGCCCCCGGCUCAACCGGGGAGGGUCAUUGGAAACUGGGAAACUUGAGUGCAGAAGAGGAGAGUGGAAUUCCACGUGUAGCGGUGAAAUGCGUAGAGAUGUGGAGGAACACCAGUGGCGAAGGCGACUCUCUGGUCUGUAACUGACGCUGAGGAGCGAAAGCGUGGGGAGCGAACAGGAUUAGAUACCCCCGUAGUCCCUGUCUCUUAUAC
Molecule: ribosomal RNA, 305 nt
Filed under: uncultured bacterium
Lineage: Bacteria
Description: partial 16S ribosomal RNA
Rfam family: Bacterial small subunit ribosomal RNA
Source: RNAcentral